CGUUAUUGUUAUUGAUCUUAUUUUACUUUUAUAGACACUUAUAUUUGAUGUUAUUUAUAUAGUUUUCAAAUGAUGGUUGCAGCUCAAGGUUGACACUCAAAAGAUUUUAUAACCCUUGUGAAGGAGUGAUGAAAGCAUCAAAAUUGAUGUGAUACGGAUAAUUAUUUUCUCUUGUAAAAGAAUAUUGAUAUGUUUGAGUAAAAUGAUGUUUCACUAUUUUAGAAGACAUUGUUGAAUCUUUAUUAAGUAUUUUUUUAAUACAUUAUAUACAAUAAACAAUUUAUUAUA
Molecule: long non-coding RNA, 288 nt
Organism: Solanum tuberosum (potato)
Lineage: Eukaryota; Viridiplantae; Streptophyta; Magnoliopsida; Solanales; Solanaceae
Exons: 2
Source: RefSeq, a predicted model, not a curated record